UUCAUUCCGUUUUCAUUAAUCAUACCAAACGCGUCCGCCUAAACAAAGUAGAAGACAUCCUUAACAUUCAAUUUGUUUGCCUACCCAGGAAUUUCUGAGAAUCUGCUUCUUGUCCGUUUAGUAACCAAAGUAACUACUCAAUGAAAUUUGAUACUCGUCUAUAUUUCUAACCUCGUUUUUCAUGCUCUCAUUUUUCUCUGGCUACAUUUUAUCUUCGCCAUUAAAUACAUUUGAAUUAUUUAAAAGAUGUUCUUCUGAUUCAUUGUCAAAUCAUAGAGUCUGGAUUUCAAUCCAGUAUCUUCACAUCCAAUAAUCUCAUCCUUUUUAUGCUGAAUAUGGUGUUUUAUGGAAUGCACAGAAACUGUUCGAUGAAAUGCCUGAACGAAAUCUAUGUACUUGGAACACCACAAUUGCUGCCCACUUAAGGAAUCAAGACAUAAACACAACUGAGCUCCUUUUUUAACUCUUCACCAUACAAGGACUUGGUGACUUACAAUGCUAUGUUAGCUGGGUAUGUCAAUGCUGAUGAGGGGCGGGAUCAUGAAAGGAGUGCUUUUAGACUCUUUGUUGAUAUGCAAUCAUCUCAGUUUAGUGGUGGCAACUCAACCAAAAGCUUAAGCGGAUGAUUGGAUUCCCAGGAAUAGUUUUAUACUCUACCAGUAUCGAUGAGUUUACUAUCACUAUCAUGCUUAACUUGGUUGCAAGAUUGUCUUUCUCGCCUCUAAGAAUGCAGUUGCAUUCGUAUAUGAUGAAAAGAAAGCGGAAGCAUUGCGUCUCUAAGAAUGCUAUAGUUGCUGCUUGCUGUAGAGAAAUUAAACCCAGAAUCACACCGUACUGAUGAAGCCAGAUAUAUUUUGGAUGACUUCUGAUGGUGAUGCCAGGAUAUCAAAGAUAUAUGAUGCCGAGGAGUAAUGUUAACAUCUAAAAGAGGAGGCUGGUUUCAUUUUUUCUCUCAAAGUGGUGAGUUUAUAUGUCUAUGGAAAAUCAGAAUUAUUGUUGCUCCCUCACGAUAGGAAAAUGAGAUGAUUCUGGUGAAAUCUGAUUCUGAAAAUGGUUCUACCAAGCUGCUGCACCUACUGAGUACUUUCAUGAGCCAAACAAGCAAAAUGCUGGUGGGUUGCAGACUAUCGUAUCACAGCCUCAUGCUGGUGGGGCCGAUUUUCAUCCGGCCAAUACUUUGCUGAAGCGAAAAAUACCUGAAGGAGGAGAUAAAGGAGAGGAACAAUCUAAGAAGAGUAAUUCCCAUCAAUGCAGACUAUGUAACAUGUCAUUCAGCACUGGCAAUGCCUUGGGUGGGCAUAUGAGUUACCAUGCCAAGAAGAAGAAGUUGAAGCAGACCCUAGUGUCUAAGCAACCACGUAUUUGAGAACCAGCCUUUGUUUGUGCUUUGGAUCCUGAUAUACGAGGGUGCUGAAGGCUGAAGAAAACGGGGGCAUUAUAGCUAUUAUUGUGAUAAUACUUUUUCGAGCAGAUUUGGCCUCUAGUGGUGAUAGCAUUUGGUUUGAUGUUAUUGAUGGUGAAGAGCAGUCGAUUGAGACUUUAAUAUGGUUGUUUUGGAGUUUUUGCUUGCAAGACUUGAAUAAAUUUGCAUCUAUCUUUAGUUUGUAAGACUAAACUAGAUGUAUCACAUGGACUGAUCAGGUCGAGUUCAAGUGAACCAAUCUUAAUUUCCGCAUCUAUUCCAUUCUUUAGGUAGUUUUUCAAAACGUUUACUUAGAUUUUGUGGGUUUUUUCUUGUAGUUGUUAGGUCAAGUUUUCACAGGUAUACAGAACACAAUUUUGAUUCUUUGCUUAUGAAAUGUGUAACCAUAAUUUCCUUUA
Long non-coding RNA from Beta vulgaris subsp. vulgaris (sugar beet), 1821 nucleotides. RefSeq lists it as uncharacterized. The transcript is spliced from 6 exons. The record is from RefSeq and is a predicted model, not a curated record. Lineage: Eukaryota; Viridiplantae; Streptophyta; Magnoliopsida; Caryophyllales; Amaranthaceae.